This 87-nucleotide transfer RNA is filed under the name Clostridia bacterium. RNAcentral's name for it is "tRNA-Leu". It matches the Rfam family "tRNA". Rfam says of the family: Transfer RNA (tRNA) molecules are approximately 80 nucleotides in length. Their secondary structure includes four short double-helical elements and three loops (D, anti-codon, and T loops). Lineage: Bacteria; Bacillati; Bacillota; Clostridia. The record is from RNAcentral.
GCCGGCGUGGCGGAAUUGGCAGACGCGCUGGACUCAAAAUCCAGUGUUGGCAACAACGUAUCGGUUCGACCCCGAUCGCCGGUACCA